This 253-nucleotide ribosomal RNA is filed under the name uncultured bacterium. RNAcentral's name for it is "partial 16S ribosomal RNA". It matches the Rfam family "Bacterial small subunit ribosomal RNA", at positions 524 to 776 of the family's 1533-position model. The record is from RNAcentral.
UACGGAGGGUGCGAGCGUUAAUCGGAAUUACUGGGCGUAAAGCGCACGUAGGCGGCUUUGUAAGUCAGAGGUGAAAGCCUGGAGCUCAACUCCAGAACUGCCUUUGAGACUGCAUCGCUUGAAUCCAGGAGAGGUGAGUGGAAUUCCGAGUGUAGAGGUGAAAUUCGUAGAUAUUCGGAAGAACACCAGUGGCGAAGGCGGCUCACUGGACUGGUAUUGACGCUGAAGUGCGAAAGCGUGGGGAGCAAACAGG